UACGAAGGGGGCUAGCGUUGCUCGGAAUCACUGGGCGUAAAGGGCGCGUAGGCGGACUUUUAAGUCGGGGGUGAAAGCCCAGGGCUCAACCCUGGAAUUGCCUUCGAUACUGGGAGUCUUGAGUUCGGAAGAGGUUGGUGGAACUGCGAGUGUAGAGGUGAAAUUCGUAGAUAUUCGCAAGAACACCGGUGGCGAAGGCGGCCAACUGGUCCGAUACUGACGCUGAGGCGCGAAAGCUAGGGGAGCAAACGGG
This 253-nucleotide ribosomal RNA is filed under the name uncultured bacterium. Its description in RNAcentral is "partial 16S ribosomal RNA". It matches the Rfam family "Bacterial small subunit ribosomal RNA", at positions 524 to 776 of the family's 1533-position model. The record is from RNAcentral.